UAGCUUUUGAUGAUUGCUAAUAAAUGUUGGAAUUACCGGCUGAUGUGGUAAACCCACUCUCUGAUGUAAAUUCACCUGGCUUUCUGAAGCUUGAA
Small nucleolar RNA from Zingiber officinale, 95 nucleotides. Lineage: Eukaryota; Viridiplantae; Streptophyta; Magnoliopsida; Zingiberales; Zingiberaceae. The record is from RefSeq and is a predicted model, not a curated record.